UUACCUCAGUAACGGCGAGUGAAGCGGUAACAGCUCAAAUUUGAAAUCUGGCCUCACGGUCCGAGUUGUAAUUUGUAGAGGAUGCUUCGAGCAUGGUCUGGCCUAAGUUCCUUGGAACAGGACGUCAUAGAGGGUGAGAAUCCCGUAUGCGGCCAGGUGCCUACGCUCAUGUGAAGCUCCUUCGACGAGUCGAGUUGUUUGGGAAUGCAGCUCAAAAUGGGUGGUAAAUUUCAUCUAAAGCUAAAUAUUGGCCAGAGACCGAUAGCGCACAAGUAGAGUGAUCGAAAGAUGAAAAGCACUUUGGAAAGAGAGUUAAACAGUACGUGAAAUUGUUGAAAGGGAAGCGCUUGCAACCAGACUUGCGCGCGGCCGAUCAUCCGGUGUUCUCACCGGUGCACUCGGCCGUGCUCAGGCCAGCAUCGGUUUUGGCGGCUGGAUAAAGGCCCUAGGAAUGUAGCUCCUCUCGGGGAGUGUUAUAGCCUAGGGUGCAAUGCAGCCUGCUGGGACCGAGGACCGCGCUUCGGCUAGGAUGCUGGCGUAAUGGUUGUAAGCGGCCCGUCUUGAAACACGGACCAAGGAGUCUAACAUCUAUGCGAGUGUUUGGGUGUCAAACCCAUACGCGUAAUGAAAGUGAACGGAGGUGAGAACCCUUAAGGGUGCAUCAUCGACCGGUCCUGAAGUUUACGGAAGGAUCUGAGUAAGAGCAUAGCUGUUGGGACCCGAAAGAUGGUGAACUAUGCCUGAAUAGGGUGAAGCCAGAGGAAACUCUGGUGGAGGCUCGCAGCGGUUCUGACGUGCAAAUCGAUCGUC
This 810-nucleotide ribosomal RNA is filed under the name Pseudogymnoascus sp. RNAcentral's name for it is "partial large subunit ribosomal RNA". It matches the Rfam family "Eukaryotic large subunit ribosomal RNA", at positions 75 to 906 of the family's 3401-position model. Lineage: Eukaryota; Fungi; Ascomycota; Leotiomycetes; Thelebolales; Thelebolaceae. The record is from RNAcentral.